CCAUAUUUUUUUUAUUUAGAUAAAGCACAUUUAUAUAUGAUAUAUAUUAUAGAAUUCGUCUAAACAACAGCCCAACAAUGUUAUAUCUGUAAAUUUGCGGAAGCCUUGCACUAUGCCCGGGAUUCAAACUCAUGCUAUUGAGAUAUCGUGGCACCAAAUCGCCUUGCACUAUGCCCGACGCGCUAGACCACUCAACCACCUAGGCUCUAUAAAGUUUUCGGUGGCCGUGUGUUACCUUUCCUUGACAGUUUUUAUCUAGCGUCGUAACACAGUACAUGAUGUAUUAGGCAUGAAGAUAGAAUUGUUACAGAUCAGCUGAAUUAUCUUUUGUAAAGGAUCCUACAAAUUAAUGUAAGAUGCAGUCACAGAAAUAAUUAUAUUAUAAGUACGUCUGAACCAGUGACGACUCUGCAAUCAAUUUUGUUUUCCAUCGGAUCACCAGCAGUGAUGUUGAUACAAGGCUGAAA
Molecule: long non-coding RNA, 467 nt
Filed under: Mytilus galloprovincialis (Mediterranean mussel)
Lineage: Eukaryota; Metazoa; Mollusca; Bivalvia; Mytilida; Mytilidae
Source: RNAcentral